This 283-nucleotide ribosomal RNA is filed under the name Escherichia coli. Its description in RNAcentral is "partial 16S ribosomal RNA". It matches the Rfam family "Bacterial small subunit ribosomal RNA", at positions 292 to 567 of the family's 1533-position model. RNAcentral also lists the same sequence under 1 other name. Lineage: Bacteria; Pseudomonadati; Pseudomonadota; Gammaproteobacteria; Enterobacterales; Enterobacteriaceae. The record is from RNAcentral.
CUGAGAGGAUGACCAGCCACACUGGAACUGAGACACGGUCCAGACUCCUACGGGAGGCAGCAGUGGGGAAUAUUGCACAAUGGGCGCAAGCCUGAUGCAGCCAUGCCGCGUGUAUGAAGAAGGCCUUCGGGUUGUAAAGUACUUUCAGCGGGGAGGAAGGGAGUAAAGUUAAUACCUUUGCUCAUUGACGUUACCCGCAGAAGAAGCACCGGCUAACUCCGUGCCAGCAGCCGCGGUAAUACGGAGGGUGCAAGCGUUAAUCGGAAUUACUGGGCGUAAAGCG